This 1004-nucleotide long non-coding RNA is filed under the name Helianthus annuus (common sunflower). RNAcentral's name for it is "hypothetical non coding rna". Lineage: Eukaryota; Viridiplantae; Streptophyta; Magnoliopsida; Asterales; Asteraceae. The record is from RNAcentral.
GGACACAUGCAGAAGGAAUGCCCUGACUUUAAGGAGUGGCUGGCUAAGAAAGGGAUUCCUUUCAAUCCGGAAGCUGGAAAGAAACCAAAGAACGCUUAAGGUUGGGGAUGAUCGAGAAUUAGAAGUGAAGGCCAUUGGAACAUUACAAUUAGUUAUGAAAACUGGUUUAUGUAUUAAACUUUAUGAUACCUUAUAUGUUCCUGAGGUAACUCGGAACCUUGUAUCAGGACCAAAGUUAGACAUGGACGGUUUUAUUGUUUCCCAUGGUCAUCGCAAACUCUCUAUCCAUUAUGAUUCUGUUCUUUAUGGUACUGGUGUUCUGGAUGGAGGUCUCUAUAGAUUAGAACUAGAUGAUGGCUUUUCCAAAUCUUUGUUGUCAUAUAACAUUAAUGAAUCACUCACAAAGAUGGAAGAGAAACGAGACUUAGAGACUUCAUCCAUGUUGUGGCAUCAGCGUUUAGGCCACAUUUCAAAAGAGCGAUUAAAUCGUCUCGUAAAGGAUGAAGUCUUACCUCCUCUCGAUUUCUCUGAUUUUGGAACAUGUGUCAAAUGUCUUAAAGGUAAAAUGACAUUAGCGAAUAAGAAAGGUGCCACUAGGAGUUCUAAUUUAUUAGAACUCAUUCACACUGACAUUAGUGGUCCCUACCAAAUCGCUGGCAUAACAGGACAUACUUCAUUUAUCACUUUUAUUGAUGAUUAUUCUCGUUAUAUGUACUUGUAUCUUAUUAAGGAGAAAUCUGAAUCUCUAACAACUUUUAAAGAUUAUAAGGCUGAAGUUGAAAAGCAAUUAGAUCGUCAGAUUAAAGUUGUGAGAUCAGAUAGAGGCGGUGAGUAUUAUGGAAGACAUACUGAUGUGGGUCAAGCUCCUGGUCCAUUUUAUGAGUUUUGUAAGGGCCAGGGGAUUGUGAACCAAUACACCAUGCCUGGUACACCUCAGCAGAACGGUGUCGCUGAAAGAAGAAACCGUACCCUUAUGAACAUGGUGCGCAGUAUGUUAGCCAACA